RNAcentral lists this ribosomal RNA (500 nucleotides) under uncultured bacterium. Its description in RNAcentral is "partial 16S ribosomal RNA". It matches the Rfam family "Bacterial small subunit ribosomal RNA", at positions 30 to 523 of the family's 1533-position model. The record is from RNAcentral.
AUUGAACGCUGGCGGAAUGCUUUACACAUGCAAGUCGAACGGCAGCACGGACUUCGGUCUGGUGGCGAGUGGCGAAUGGGUGAGUAAUGUAUCGGAACGUGCCCAGUCGUGGGGGAUAACGUAGUGAAAAUUACGCUAAUACCGCAUACGAUCUCUGGAUGAAAGCGGGGGAUCGCAAGACCUCGCGCGAUUGGAGCGGCCGAUAUCAGAUUAGGUAGUUGGUGGGGUAAAGGCCCACCAAACCAACGAACUGUAGCUGGUCUGAGAGGACGACCAGCCACACUGAAACGGAGACACGGUCCAGACUCCUACGGGAGGCAGCAGUGGGGAAUUUUGGACAAUGGGCGAAAGCCUGAUCCAGCCAUUCCGCGUGCAGGAUGAAGGCCCUCGGGUUGUAAACUGCUUUUGUACAGAACGAAAAGGUUUCUACUAAUACUAGGAGCUCAUGACGGUACUGUAAGAAUAAGCACCGGCUAACUACGUGCCAGCCGCCGCUGUAA